Molecule: ribosomal RNA, 478 nt
Filed under: uncultured bacterium
Lineage: Bacteria
Description: partial 16S ribosomal RNA
Rfam family: Bacterial small subunit ribosomal RNA
Source: RNAcentral
GAUGAACGCUGGCGGCGUGCUUAACACAUGCAAGUCGAACGGGAAAUAUUUCAUUGAGACUUCGGUGGAUUUGAUUUAUUUCUAGUGGCGGACGGGUGAGUAACGCGUGGGUAACCUGCCUUAUACAGGGGGAUAACAGUCAGAAAUGGCUGCUAAUACCGCAUAAGCGCACAGAGCUGCAUGGCUCAGUGUGAAAAACUCCGGUGGUAUAAGAUGGACCCGCGUUGGAUUAGCUAGGUGGUGGGGUAACGGCCCACCAAGGCGACGAUCCAUAGCCGGCCUGAGAGGGGGAACGGCCACAUUGGGACUGAGACACGGCCCAGACUCCUACGGGAGGCAGCAGUGGGGAAUAUUGCACAAUGGGGGAAACCCUGAUGCAGCGACGCCGCGUGAAGGAAGAAGUAUCUCGGUAUGUAAACUUCUAUCAGCAGGGAAGAUAGUGACGGUACCUGACUAAGAAGCCCCGGCUAACUACGUG